GACGAACGCUGGCGGCGUGCUUAACACAUGCAAGUCGAGCGGUAAGGCCCUUUCGGGGGUACACGAGCGGCGAACGGGUGAGUAACACGUGGGUGACCUGCCCUCAGCUCUGGGAUAAGCCUGGGAAACCGGGUCUAAUACUGGAUAUGACUCCAUGACGCAUGUUGUGGGGUGAAAGCCUUGUGCGGCUGAGGAUGGGCCCGCGGCCUAUCAGCUUGUUGGUGGGGUGANGGCCUACCAAGGCGACGACGGGUAGCCGGCCUGAGAGGGCGACCGGCCACACUGGGACUGAGACACGGCCCAGACUCCUACGGGAGGCAGCAGUGGGGAAUCUUGCGCAAUGGGCGAAAGCCUGACGCAGCGACGCCGCGUGAGGGAUGACGG
Molecule: ribosomal RNA, 384 nt
Filed under: uncultured bacterium
Lineage: Bacteria
Description: bacterial SSU rRNA
Rfam family: Bacterial small subunit ribosomal RNA
Source: RNAcentral